GGUUAAGUUAAUAAGGGCGCACGGUGGAUGCCUUGGCACUAGAAGCCGAAGAAGGACGUGACAAACGACGAAAUGCUUUGGGGAGCUGUAAGUAAGCGCUGAUCCAGAGAUGUCCGAAUGGGGAAACCUACUAACUAAUGGUUAGUAUCCAUAACUGUUAAGGUUAUGAGAAGGAAGACGCAGUGAACUGAAACAUCUAAGUAGCUGCAGGAAGAGAAAGCAAACGCGAUUGCCUUAGUAGCGGCGAGCGAAACGGCAGGAGGGCAAACCGAAGUGUUUACACUUCGGGGUUGUAGGACUGCGACGUGGGACUUUAAAAGGAUAGAAGAAUUACCUGGGAAGGUAAGCCAAAGAGAGUAAAAGCCUCGUAUUUAAAAUUCUUUUGAGCCCUAGCAGUAUCCUGAGUACGGCGAGACACGUGAAAUCUCGUUGGAAUCUGGGAGGACCAUCUCCCAACCCUAAAUACUCUCUAGUGACCGAUAGUGAACCAGUACCGUGAGGGAAAGGUGAAAAGCACCCCGGGAGGGGAGUGAAAUAGAACCUGAAACCGUGUGCCUACAACAAGUUCGAGCCCGUUAAUGGGUGAGAGCGUGCCUUUUGUAGAAUGAACCGGCGAGUUACGAUAUGAUGCGAGGUUAAGUUGAAGAGACGGAGCCGUAGGGAAACCGAGUCUUAAUAGGGCGAUUUAGUAUCAUGUUGUAGACCCGAAACCAUGUGACCUACCCAUGAGCAGGUUGAAGGUGAGGUAAAACUCACUGGAGGACCGAACCAGGGCACGUUGAAAAGUGCUUGGAUGACUUGUGGGUAGCGGAGAAAUUCCAAACGAACUUGGAGAUAGCUGGUUCUCUCCGAAAUAGCUUUAGGGCUAGCGUCGAUGUUAAGUCUCUUGGAGGUAGAGCACUGUUUGGGUGAGGGGUCCAUCUCGGAUUACCAAUCUCAGAUAAACUCCGAAUGCCAACGAGAUAUCAUCGGCAGUCAGACUGCGAGUGCUAAGAUCCGUAGUCGAAAGGGAAACAGCCCAGACCACCAGCUAAGGUCCCAAAAUAACUGUUAAGUGGAAAAGGAUGUGGGGUUGCACAGACAACUAGGAUGUUAGCUUAGAAGCAGCUAUUCAUUCAAAGAGUGCGUAAUAGCUCACUAGUCGAGUGACCCUGCGCCGAAAAUGUACCGGGGCUAAAACAGUUUACCGAAGCUGUGGAUGACACAAAAGUGUCAUGGUAGGAGAGCGUUCUAUGUGUGAAGAAGGUGUACCGUGAGGAGCGCUGGAACGCAUAGAAGUGAGAAUGCCGGUAUGAGUAGCGAAAGACAGGUGAGAAUCCUGUCCACCGUAAGACUAAGGUUUCCAGGGGAAGGCUCGUCCGCCCUGGGUUAGUCGGGACCUAAGGAGAGACCGAAAGGUGUAUCCGAUGGCCAACAGGUUGAUAUUCCUGUACUAGAGUAUAUAGUGAUGGAGGGACGCAGUAGGCUAACUAAACCGGACGAUUGGAAGAGUCCGGCUAAGCAGUGAGGUGUAAGAUGAGUCAAAUGCUUAUCUUUAUAACAUUGAGCUGUGAUGGGGAGCGAAUUUUAGUAGCGAAGUUAGUGAUGUCACACUGCCAAGAAAAGCUUCUAGCGUUUAAUGAUACUCUACCCGUACCGCAAACCGACACAGGUAGUCGAGGCGAGUAGCCUCAGGUGAUCGAGAGAACUCUCGUUAAGGAACUCGGCAAAAUGACCCCGUAACUUCGGGAGAAGGGGUGCUGACUUAGGUCAGCCGCAGUGAAUAGGCCCAAGCAACUGUUUAUCAAAAACACAGCUCUCUGCUAAAUCGUAAGAUGAUGUAUAGGGGGUGACGCCUGCCCGGUGCUGGAAGGUUAAGAGGAGGGUUUAGCGCAAGCGAAGAUCUGAAUUGAAGCCCCAGUAAACGGCGGCCGUAACUAUAACGG
Molecule: ribosomal RNA, 1925 nt
Filed under: Lacticaseibacillus rhamnosus
Lineage: Bacteria; Bacillati; Bacillota; Bacilli; Lactobacillales; Lactobacillaceae
Description: partial 23S ribosomal RNA
Rfam family: Bacterial large subunit ribosomal RNA
Source: RNAcentral